GGAAUUACUGGGCGUAAAGCGUGCGUAGGUGGUGGUUUAAGUCUGUUGUGAAAGCCCUGGGCUCAACCUGGGAAUUGCAGUGGAUACUGGAUCACUAGAGUGUGGUAGAGGGUAGCGGAAUUCCCGGUGUAGCAGUGAAAUGCGUAGAGAUCGGGAGGAACAUCCGUGGCGAAGGCGGCUACCUGGACCAACACUGACACUGAGGCACGAAAGCGUGGGGAGCAAACAGGAUUAGAUACCCUGGUAGUCCACGCCCUAAACGAUGCGAACUGGAUGUUGGGUGCAAUUUGGCACGCAGUAUCGAAGCUAACGCGUUAAGUUCGCCGCCUGGGGAGUACGGUCGCAAGACUGAAACUCAAAGGAAUUGACGGGGGCCCGCACAAGCGGUGGAGUAUGUGGUUUAAUUCGAUGCAACGCGAAGAACCUUACCUGGUCUUGACAUCCACGGAACUUUCCAGAGAUGGAUUGGUGCCUUCGGG
This 479-nucleotide ribosomal RNA is filed under the name Xanthomonas vesicatoria. RNAcentral describes it as "bacterial SSU rRNA". It matches the Rfam family "Bacterial small subunit ribosomal RNA", at positions 547 to 1024 of the family's 1533-position model. The record is from RNAcentral. Lineage: Bacteria; Pseudomonadati; Pseudomonadota; Gammaproteobacteria; Lysobacterales; Lysobacteraceae.